This 982-nucleotide ribosomal RNA is filed under the name Steinernema akhursti. RNAcentral describes it as "SSU rRNA". It matches the Rfam family "Eukaryotic small subunit ribosomal RNA", at positions 104 to 1091 of the family's 1831-position model. The record is from RNAcentral. Lineage: Eukaryota; Metazoa; Nematoda; Chromadorea; Rhabditida; Steinernematidae.
CAACAGCAAUAAUUGACUAAGCGAUAUAUUCCUUAAAUGGAUAACUGUGGUAAUUCUAGAGCUAAUACAUGAAUUUAAGCAGAGUGUCUUGUGCGCUCUGUUCAUUUAUUAGACCAAAACCAAGCGGCCUCGGUCGUUUAUUUCGGUGACUCGUAGUAAUUUCGUUGAUCACAUGAUCUCGUAUCGGUGACACGCUUAUCAAGUUUCUGCCCUAUCAACUUUUGAUGGUUCUUUAUUGGAGAACCAUGGUUAUAACGGGUAACGGAGAAUUAGGGUUCGACUCCGGAGAGGGAGCCUGAGAAACGGCUACCACAUCCAAGGAAGGCAGCAGGCGCGAAAAUUACCCACUCUCAGUUCGAGGAGGUAGUGACGAAAAAUAACAAGGCUGAUCGCUUUGCGAGCAGCUAUUGGAAUGGGUACAAUUUAAACCCUUUAACGAGGACCUAUGAGAGGGCAAGUCUGGUGCCAGCAGCCGCGGUAAUUCCAGCUCUCAAAAUGUACUUAACCAUUGUUGCGGUUAAAAAGCUCGUAGUUGGAUCUCUGCAGCGCGUGGUGGUUCGUUCAUUGAACGAUUACUUCUUCGCGUUGCUCUCUUUUGUCGGUUUUUGGCUGUGCUCCUCACGGGGUGCAGUCGUGACUGACGAGUUUACUUUGAAUUAAUUAGAGUGCUUAAAACAGGCGUUUCGCUUGAAUAGUCUAGCAUGGAAUAAUGGAAUAGGACUUCGGUUCGAUUUUAUUGGUUUUAUGGAUCGAAGUAAUGAUUAGUAGGAAUAAACGGGGGCAUUCGUAUUGUUACGUUAGAGGUGAAAUUCUGGGACCGUAGCAAGACGAUCGACUGCGAAAGCAUUUGCCAAGAAUGUUUUCAUUAAUCAAGAACGAAAGUUAGGGGUUCGAAGGCGAUCAGAUACCGCCCUAGUCCUAACCCUAAACUCUGCCAACUAGCGAUCCGUCGAUGGUAAUUUAGCCUUGAUGGGGAGCUAAU